This 120-nucleotide ribosomal RNA is filed under the name Bison bison bison. Lineage: Eukaryota; Metazoa; Chordata; Mammalia; Artiodactyla; Bovidae. The record is from RNAcentral.
GUCUAAGGCCAUAGCACCCUGAACGCGCCCUAUCUCGAUUUGAUCUCGGAAGCUAAGCAGGGUCGGGCCUGGUUAGUACUUGGGUGGGAGACCGCCUGGGCAUACCGGGUGCUGUAGGCU